This 256-nucleotide ribosomal RNA is filed under the name uncultured bacterium. Its description in RNAcentral is "partial 16S ribosomal RNA". It matches the Rfam family "Bacterial small subunit ribosomal RNA", at positions 524 to 776 of the family's 1533-position model. The record is from RNAcentral.
UACGGGGGGGGGCAAGCGUUGUUCGGAAUCACUGGGCGUAAAGGGCGUGUAGGCGGUCAAGUAAGUGGAAUGUGAAAGCCCCCCGGCUUACCCGGGGAUCUGCAUCCCAAACUGCUUGGCUUGAGUACGGGAGAGGAUAGGGGAAUUCCUGGGUGUAGCGGUGAAAUGCGUAGAUAUCAGGAGGAACACCGGUGGCGAAGGCGCCUAUCUGGCCCGAUACUGACGCUGAGGCGCGAAAGCUAGGGGAGCAAACGGG